This 433-nucleotide ribosomal RNA is filed under the name uncultured bacterium. RNAcentral's name for it is "partial 16S ribosomal RNA". It matches the Rfam family "Bacterial small subunit ribosomal RNA", at positions 29 to 507 of the family's 1533-position model. The record is from RNAcentral.
AACGAACGCUGGCGGCAUGCCUAACAAAUGCAAGUCGAACGAGACCUUCGGGUCUAGUGGCGCACGGGUGCGUAACGCGUGGGAACCUGCCCUUAGGUUCGGAAUAACUCCCCGAAAGGGGUGCUAAUACCGGAUAAUGUCUUCGGACCAAAGAUUUAUCGCCUUUGGAUGGGCCCGCGUUGGUUUAGCUAGUUGGUAGGGUAAAAGCCUACCAAGGCGACUAUCCAUAGCUGGUCUGAGAGGAUGAUCAGCCACACUGGAACUGAGACACGGCCCAGACUCCUGCGGAAGGUAGCAGUGGGGAAUAGUGGACAAUGGGCGAAAGCCUGAUCCACCAAUGCCGCGUGAGUGAUGAAGGACUUAGGGUUGUAAAGCUCUUUUACCCGGGAUGAUAAUGACAGUACCGGGAGAAUAAGCUCCGGCUAACUCCGUG